AGGGAAGCUUCUUAGGAAAGCAUGUUAUUGGUGUGAACUCUCAAUCAAGUGCAAACAAAAAAGGCGUGGAUGCUCAUCUAACUUUGGUAAAGAAAAAUCCAAAAGCAUAUGGCAGGACAAAUACCCUCAACUAGCUAGUGGAAAGAAAUUGAAGUUCUGUAGAAAAAAAAAGAAAAUAAAAGGCUUCAAGAAAUAAUAUAGGUGCUGCAUAUGCAAGACGAAAGGACAUUAACCUACUUUGUUAUCUAGCCCAGAUUGAGGAUAUUGAUGACUCUGAUGUUGAAUUAAUAUUUUCUCUCGAAGACAAACCACUACUGGCACUGUACUUGCUAAAUGAAUUGAACAAGGAUAUGAUUUUUCAAAGAAUCUGACUCUGAAGAAGAAGAGUGCGAUGGAGAUGAUCAAUUUAUGCUAUUAGAUAUUUACACGCUUGACGACUGUAAAAGCUGAAUUACCAAAGAAGAUAGACUGGCAUAUGUGUCUCAACCAUCUCCAAAUGCAAAGAUAUACUUCUUCCGGACCAAGUAUGACAAGACCCUAUUUUGACACAAAUGCUUCCUCCUUCAUCCUCAAGUCGGAUAUCCUUCCAUCUUCCCAUUGGAAUUCAUGCUCAGUACCGUUUAAAGCAGCCAAUGCUCUCCUUGGAAAAGACUUUAUACUUGGGUUCGAUGUCCUCCAUAGCCUCAAAAGAUUAUCAUACAAUGCUCUCCUUUGGACAACCAUCUCCCAUCUCUAGCCAAUGGAAAUUUUGAAUCCUAUCAAAGAAGAAACUGCCAAAAUAUCAUGUGCCGAUUCUCACUCGGAAUUUCUCACCAAAUGCUUUUUACCUCUUUGGAAAAAUGAAGACUUCUUUGUAUCCGUACCAUAAGAAAAAUGAAGACAUCAACCCAACAAAGGCAAGCCACCCAAGCAUGGAUCCAGAUCACUGCAAUCUCGCACUUGAAGAAGUUGAUAAACUGCUGAAUGAAGAUCUCAUUGAGAAGACCACUUCACCAUGGGCAUGUGAAGCUUUUAUGUCAACAAAAUAACAGAGCAAGUGUAUUAUCUAUGUCAAUAUCAUCUAAAUGUGGUAUAUAUUGGCCAAAGAGUCAACACCAACUAUAUGUAGUGUGUAAUGUAAGAUAUUAUUUGUGUGGUGUGUAAUGUAAGAUAUCAAGUAUCUAAGGAAUAUUCCACAAAAUAUUCUUUAGGAAUAUUCCACAAAAUAUUCUUUAGGAAUUACUAUUGUAAUCCAAACCAAGUGAGUUGAGUGAGUUAAGUCCCAAAGAGCCUCUCGAGUAUUUCAUAAUAUCUUUGAAUGUUCUUAAUAAAAUAAAAGUCCAUUUGUUAUAAAAUAAUUUUGUCUUUCCUUGAGUACUUUAUCAAUAUACAUUUGAUCCUAAACACCUCUUUUGUGGUUGUACCUACUUGCUAUUGAAAUUUAACAAGGAGAUGACUCUUUCGAAGAAUCUGACACUGAAGAAGAAGAGACCAAUGGAGAUGAUCAAUUCAUGAUAUUCGAUCUUUACACUUGACACUUGAUGUCUGUAAAGGCGAAUUGCCAAAAGAAGAUAGACAAGUAUAUGUUUUUUAACCAUCUCCAAAUGCAAAGAUAUACAUCUUUCCGAUCAAGUAUGAUACUAGUCAUAGCCUAUUUUGACACUGGUACUACCUCCUCCAUCCUCAAGGGACAUCCUUCCAUCCACCCUUUGGAAUUCAUGUCUGGUACCAUUUAAAGUAGCUAAUGGUCAGAAUUUUACCAUCUCCAUCAUCAGUAACCCUAUAUACAUUCAACUCUUUCAUAGAUAUAUGGUUAAAACCAAAGUAUAUGGGUCGGAUCUCCCUGGAAGACUUUAUACUUGGGUUUGAUGUUCUCGAUAGCCUAAAAAGAGUACCAUGGCACCUAAAAGAACUUAAAAACAAGAACCACCUCUCACCUUGGACAACCAUCUCCCAUCUCUACCCCCAUGGAGAUUUUGAAUCCUAUCAAAUAAGAAAUUUCCAAGACAUCAUGUGUUGCUUCUCACUCAAAAUUCCUUACCGAAUGUCCUUCACCUCUUUGGAAAAAUCCAGACUUCUUCUUAUCUUUGCGCUUCAAGAAGAAUGAAGACAUCAAACCAAAAAAAGGCAAGCCACCCAUGCAUGAAUCCAUAUCACAACAAUCUUGCACUUGAAGAAGUUGAUCAACUACUGAAAGAAGAUCUCAUUGAGCUUUUUAUGUCAACAAAAGAGCAAAGCAUAUUCGAGGAAAACUGAGACUGGUCAUCAACUAUCAACCACUAAAUAACUUUCUUGCAGAUGACAAGUUUCUUUUACCAAAAUGAGAAAUAUUUUUCCAAAGAUUACCCCAGACAAAAGUAUUCUCCAAAUUUUGUUUAAAAGCGAAUUGUUGGCAGUUAGGAAUCAAACUAGAAGACAAGCAUAAGACAUGUUUCGAUGACCGCUAUUACCACUGGAAGGUCAUGAUAUUUGGUCUAAAGAUAGCCCUUUCACUAUUCCAGAAGGCCAUGAUCAAGAUGUUUGAGCCAAUCCUCUCAAAUGCCUUAGUAUAUAUUGACGACAUUCUGAUUUUUCUCUAGACAUUGACUCUCAUACUCGCCUACUAAAAAUAUUUCAUGAUAUCAUACAACAAUAUGGCAUCAUGCUCUUGGAAAAGAAAAUGGUCAUUUCCUUGGCAUGCAUAUUUCAGAGUGUCACUCAGCCCCACAUUGCAAUACAACUUAGUGAGUUUCCAGAUAAAAAGUUGUCUUUCAAACAAAUUUAGUAAUUCCUUGGAAUUGUUAACUACAUGACGAACUUCAUACAUCAUCUCGCAAAACCUUGGUAAAUCCUUUCAGCUAAACUUAAAAAGGACGCUCCUCCAUGGAAUCAGAAGUAUACUGAAGCAGUGAAAAAACUCAAGAAGAUUUCAAAGACACUUCCAUCACUAAAAAUACUAUCCAAUGGUAAAAGAAUCCUUCAAAUGGAUGCCAGUGAUUGCUAUUGGGGUGUUGUCCUACUAGAAGAAGAUGAAAAAGGAAACAACACAUUUGUGGUUAUAAGAGUGGUGUUUUCAAAGAAGAAUAAAAACACUAUCACUCCAAGUACAAAGAAAUUCUUGAAAUAAAAAGAAGAAAUGAAAAGUUUGAAUUUCAUCGGGCGAACCAUCAUUUUCUUAUUGAAAUGGACAUGUCAUCUUUUCCAAAGAUAAUGCAUUUCAAACUGAAGUCUUGAAUUACUCAGAUGAGUACUGAGUUAAGUCCUAAAGAAUCUUUCGAGUUAUUUGUAAUAUACUUGAGUGUUCUUAAUAAAAUAAAAAUUCCUUGUUAUAAGAUAAUUGUUUCCUUUCUUAAACACUUUAUCAACCCCUUUGAUCCUAAGCACCUCCUUUGUGGUUGUACCUACUAAGUGUUUGUAAAUUAGGUUAGAAGUUUAGGAUUUAAAGAUGUUCAAAUAAUUCUUUAGGAUGAGAGCUUUUGAUAUGUUCAUUCUUUUUGAACAACUUGAUAUGUUCAUUCAGUUAAAGUUUUAUUUGUGAGAAUGGUAUUAACGCCGGCUGGUCCCGGGAGGAUUGUUUGGACUGAAGCCUAGACACCUCCUAGUUAACAAAAUAUAAAUUAUUUGUGGGCCGCGUGUUCUCCACAGAUGAGAGAAAUGAAGCAGAGGAUGAGCAUUGGCAUGAACUGGCUCGUCCUCAAGUUCACGGUCAUGACAUUAAUUGUGUGGCUAUGGUUCAAGGUAAAGGCAACCACCGUUUAUCUUUAUUGAAGACACUGAACCAUUACUUGCGCCUGAGGAGAAGGUAGCCUCCCAGACAAGCAGAUGUGCAUGUCCUUGGCUCAAUUUGCAUCCAUGGCGGAAAUUUGGCGAUGGGAGGUUUGGACAUGGAAAGCUGUUGGUCGUUUGCAGUCUCACAGCUUGGACAGUGACACCCUUGGAGUUCUCUUAUGAUUGACAUUCUGCGCUUGUGUGUCUCCGGAGAUAGUCAAGUCACUUCUCAGUUUUCUCUAUCCAAAGAACAGACAAUGGCGAGGUUAGUCACAAACUCAUGGCAAAAGGCUGAAGCACAAAAGAGCAUCAUUUGGGCUUGUUCAUGGAGACCGUUUGGCCACCAGUUUGAACCUUCAUCAAGAGAUAAGACUCUGAAGAUCUGGCCCUUCGAGAAAGAUGCUCGGGUCAAACAGGUUCUUUCUUUGCCUCAGUUUGGGAGCAGUGUCACAGCCGUAGCUUGGACAAGACUAGACCACAAGGAGAAAAGCAGGGUGCAUAGCAUUUGGGAUGGAGGGUGGACUUAGAGUUGUGGAAAAUAAAGAUCAAAGAAACAGAGGAAGCUAAAACAGUAGCACCAUGUCUUGCUCUGAGGCUCGAACUGUACAUGUAUCAUGUCUAUCCCGUGAACCGGUUAAACAUGGAGACCAACCGAGAGUAACCAGAACUCUCUUUCCCUACAGGCUAUAGCCACUGUACUGGUUAUGUAAAAUUUUGGUGCCUAAGUUGAAACAUGUCAUCAAAUCAAAACGUUUUCAUUGCAUCAAGUUGUCUGGUUGAUAAAAAGAGAGAGAGAAAAAAAAAAAGCGUUCUUAAGUUG
Brassica rapa (field mustard) is the source of this 4546-nucleotide long non-coding RNA. RefSeq lists it as uncharacterized. Lineage: Eukaryota; Viridiplantae; Streptophyta; Magnoliopsida; Brassicales; Brassicaceae. The record is from RefSeq and is a predicted model, not a curated record.